UUGAACGCUGGCGGCAUGCCUUACACAUGCAAGUCGAACGGCAGCACGGGUGCUUGCACCUGGUGGCGAGUGGCGAACGGGUGAGUAAUACAUCGGAACAUGUCCUGUAGUGGGGGAUAGCCCGGCGAAAGCCGGAUUAAUACCGCAUACGAUCCACGGAUGAAAGCGGGGGACCUUCGGGCCUCGCGCUAUAGGGUUGGCCGAUGGCUGAUUAGCUAGUUGGUGGGGUAAAGGCCUACCAAGGCGACGAUCAGUAGCUGGUCUGAGAGGACGACCAGCCACACUGGGACUGAGACACGGCCCAGACUCCUACGGGAGGCAGCAGUGGGGAAUUUUGGACAAAGGGCGAAAGCCUGAUCCAGCAAUGCCGCGUGUGUGAAGAAGGACUUCGGGUUGUAAAGCACUUUUGUCCGGAAAGAAAUCCUUGACUCUAAUACAGUCGGGGGAUGACGGUACCGGAAGAAUAAGCACCGGCUAACUACGUG
Molecule: ribosomal RNA, 485 nt
Filed under: uncultured bacterium
Lineage: Bacteria
Description: partial 16S ribosomal RNA
Rfam family: Bacterial small subunit ribosomal RNA
Source: RNAcentral